UUUUUUUUUUUUUUUUUUUUUUUUUUAUAUAUAUUUAGAUACCACAAAGAUUUAGAGAAAAAAAUCUUAUAAAAAGAAAAAUUAUCUUGCAACGUUUUUAGUAAAAAUAAUAAUAACACAAUCAAAUAUAUGGAAAUCUUAUAAAAAGAUUUAGAUAAUAAUAACACAAAGAUUUAGAUAUAUGGAAUCUUAUAAAAAAAAAAAUUAUCUUGCAACGUUUUUAGUAAAAAUAAUAAUAACACAAUCAAAUAUAUGGAAAUCAAAUAUUUAAUAUGGAAAAGUCAAUAUCUAAAAGUGAUAAGAUAUGUAUAACGUUUUAAUCAAAGGAGUUAAAUAAGGGAUAUCAUAUCAAUCAUAAAUAGAUUUUAGACAAUAUAAUAUUUAUAAAAUGAUAUUGAAUAUAGAUGCAACUAUUCAAAACUGGAAUGCUAAAACAUUAUUACAUGGUUGCAUCACCCACCACCGGGCUAUGAAUAGUUACAAAAUUAGUUAUAUAAUUAUAAAAUUGGUAAUUUAUAUAUUCAAUAUUGUAAUAGUAAAUCACAAAAAUUAACAAUUAACAAGCAUGAUUCUCUUCUUUAACGAUUUUCUUUGUAGAAUCAUUGAAUCAUGCGAUAGUAAUUAUAGAAACAAAUGAUAAGCAUGAUUCUCUUCUUUAUUGAAUCAUUGAAAACAUGCUUUUACCGAUCUAUACUAUAAUCAUCGAUUGGCUCAUAUUGUUUUGUUUCAAUAAUAGAAAAUAAGUACUAUGAACCAUGAGUCGAUAAGUAAACAUGGUUCUUAAAAAAAAUGUAAGAAUCUCUAUAUCUACCUUUUAGAGCGUGUUGAUAACGUGUUAUAAACAGAGAAAGAGAUAGAAGAAAUGAGUGUGUUAUUCCAUUGAGAUAAAGGGUUUUUUAUAUAGGAGUACAAGGAAAGGGUAAAACCCUAGAAACAUCUAGAUGAUGGGCUUAGAUGAUGGACCUUAUAAUGGGCAUCCAUCUUUAUUCAUAACAAAUAAUAACUUGUUGUUACAAUUGGGGAUAAGCUUAAAUUAUAGAGAGGACUUACUCAAGGUUCUAAAAUCAUAAAAUAAGAAACUAAAUCAAAA
RNAcentral lists this small RNA (1090 nucleotides) under Arabidopsis thaliana (thale cress). RNAcentral's name for it is "ATSL262300". The record is from RNAcentral. Lineage: Eukaryota; Viridiplantae; Streptophyta; Magnoliopsida; Brassicales; Brassicaceae.